AAUUCAGUGAAUCAUCGAAUCUUUGAACGCACAUUGCGCCCCUUGGNAUCCCGAGGGGCAUGCCUGUUCGAGCGUCAUUUCACCACUCAAGCCUGGCUUGGUGUUGGGCGACGUCCCC
Molecule: ribosomal RNA, 118 nt
Filed under: uncultured Cenococcum
Lineage: Eukaryota; Fungi; Ascomycota; Dothideomycetes; Gloniales; Gloniaceae
Description: 5.8S ribosomal RNA
Rfam family: 5.8S ribosomal RNA (bases 1-77)
About the family: 5.8S ribosomal RNA (5.8S rRNA) is a component of the large subunit of the eukaryotic ribosome. It is transcribed by RNA polymerase I as part of the 45S precursor that also contains 18S and 28S rRNA. Functionally, it is thought that 5.8S rRNA may be involved in ribosome translocation.
Source: RNAcentral